GCUGUAGCUCGGCAGUAGAGCAUCUCCUUUGCAUGCAGAAGGUCCCAGCUUCAAACCUUGGCAUCUCCA
Molecule: non-coding RNA, 69 nt
Organism: Podarcis lilfordi (Lilford's wall lizard)
Lineage: Eukaryota; Metazoa; Chordata; Lepidosauria; Squamata; Lacertidae
Source: the annotation of a GenBank genome assembly